This 497-nucleotide ribosomal RNA is filed under the name uncultured bacterium. RNAcentral describes it as "partial 16S ribosomal RNA". It matches the Rfam family "Bacterial small subunit ribosomal RNA", at positions 28 to 507 of the family's 1533-position model. The record is from RNAcentral.
GAUGAACGCUGGCGGCGUGCCUAAUACAUGCAAGUCGAGCGAACAGACGAGGAGCUUGCUCCUCUGACGUUAGCGGCGGACGGGUGAGUAACACGUGGAUAACCUACCUAUAAGACUGGGAUAACUUCGGGAAACCGGAGCUAAUACCGGAUAAUAUAUUGAACCGCAUGGUUCAAUAGUGAAAGACGGUUUUGCUGUCACUUAUAGAUGGAUCCGCGCCGCAUUAGCUAGUUGGUAAGGUAACGGCUUACCAAGGCAACGAUGCGUAGCCGACCUGAGAGGGUGAUCGGCCACACUGGAACUGAGACACGGUCCAGACUCCUACGGGAGGCAGCAGUAGGGAAUCUUCCGCAAUGGGCGGAAGCCUGACGGAGCAACGCCGCGUGAGUGAUGAAAGUCUUCGGAUCGUAAAACUCUGUUAUUAGGGAAGAACAAAUGUGUAAGUAACUAUGCACGUCUUGACGGUACCUAAUCAGAAAGCCACGGCUAACUACGUG